AACAAAGUGAAAGAUGCAUGAUUCUGGUAACCACAACAGUUGUUGAUCCAAGGACAAUGGUGAUCCAUCUUCAUGACACAUCUGUUACACUUUCGACAGUGGUGUGAACGUGGUGCCUUGUAAGACUGACACACUUUACAGUACUGGAGAUACAUGCAAUCCUGAGAUUUUUCCCGGGGCCGACAAACAUGGCGUUGAAGUAGUUGUAGAGAAUCAUGACUGUCCAGUUGAGGAGCAUGAUGAAGUUGACGCUCCCCCCGGCCGUGUCCAGGGGCCAGUACCACAGCACGGCGUCCGCGAUGGCGGUGGCGGAGCAGACGAUCACCACGGACAGGGCCACCAGCGGCCCCCAGUGGCACAGCCGCCGCACCUCCCGCAGCCCCCCGGGGCCGCCCAUGGCCGCUACCGCCGCCCGCCCGACGCCUCCUCGCCGCCGCGCAUGGCUCCCUCGGCCCCUCGCCGUCCCGCCGGGAGGAACGGGAAAGGGAAGGGGAGGCGUUGGGG
Molecule: long non-coding RNA, 504 nt
Filed under: Gallus gallus (chicken)
Lineage: Eukaryota; Metazoa; Chordata; Aves; Galliformes; Phasianidae
Source: RNAcentral